GAGUGUCGGGUUAAGUCCCAUAACGAGCGCAACCCUUAUCGUUAGUUGCCAUCUGGUAAUGCAGGGGACUCUAGCGAAACUGCCACCGUAAGGUGAGAGGAAGUGGGAUGACGUCAAAUCAGCACGGCCCUUAUGUCCAGGGCUACACACGUGUUACAAUGGUCGGUACAGAGGGCAGCUACCUGGUGACAGGAUGCUAAUCUCGAAAACCGGUCUCAGUUCGGAUCGAAGUCUGCAACUCGACUUCGUGAAGCUGGAUUCGCUAGUAAUCGCGCAUCAGCUAUGGCGCGGUGAAUACGUUCCCGGGCCUU
This 311-nucleotide ribosomal RNA is filed under the name uncultured Sphingobacteriales bacterium. Its description in RNAcentral is "bacterial SSU rRNA". It matches the Rfam family "Bacterial small subunit ribosomal RNA", at positions 1070 to 1382 of the family's 1533-position model. The record is from RNAcentral. Lineage: Bacteria; Pseudomonadati; Bacteroidota; Sphingobacteriia; Sphingobacteriales.